UAAUCCUACGGGGCGCAGCAGUGGGGAAUAUUGGGCAAUGGGCGCAAGCCUGACCCAGCAAUGCCGCGUGAAGGAAGAAGGCUUUCGGGUUGUAAACUUCUUUGACAGGGGAAGAGCAGAAGACGGUACCCUGAAAACAAGCCACGGCUAACUACGUGCCAGCAGCCGCGGUAAUACGUAGGUGGCAAGCGUUGUCCGGAUUUACUGGGUGUAAAGGGAGCGUAGACGGUCCUGCAAGCCAGAUGUGAAAGCCCGGGGCUCAACCCCGGUAC
Molecule: ribosomal RNA, 272 nt
Filed under: uncultured bacterium
Lineage: Bacteria
Description: partial 16S ribosomal RNA
Rfam family: Bacterial small subunit ribosomal RNA
Source: RNAcentral